GGUCCCAUAGCUUAAUAUUAAAGCUUUGCCUUGAAGGGGCAACGAUACAUUGUUGUGACCA
RNAcentral lists this transfer RNA (61 nucleotides) under Euhadra herklotsi. RNAcentral's name for it is "tranfer RNA-Phe". Lineage: Eukaryota; Metazoa; Mollusca; Gastropoda; Stylommatophora; Camaenidae. The record is from RNAcentral.